RNAcentral lists this ribosomal RNA (253 nucleotides) under uncultured bacterium. RNAcentral's name for it is "partial 16S ribosomal RNA". It matches the Rfam family "Bacterial small subunit ribosomal RNA", at positions 524 to 776 of the family's 1533-position model. The record is from RNAcentral.
UACGAAGGGGGCUAGCGUUGCUCGGAAUCACUGGGCGUAAAGCGCACGUAGGCGGCUUUUUAAGUCAGGGGUGAAAUCCUGGAGCUCAACUCCAGAACUGCCUUUGAUACUGGCGAGCUUGAGUUCGGGAGAGGUGAGUGGAACUGCGAGUGUAGAGGUGAAAUUCGUAGAUAUUCGCAAGAACACCAGUGGCGAAGGCGGCUCACUGGCCCGAUACUGACGCUGAGGUGCGAAAGCGUGGGGAGCAAACAGG